AAAUUGAAGAGUUUGAUCAUGGCUCAGAUUGAACGCUGGCGGCAGGCCUAACACAUGCAAGUCGAGCGGUAGCACAGAGAGCUUGCUCUCGGGUGACGAGCGGCGGACGGGUGAGUAAUGUCUGGGAAACUGCCUGAUGGAGGGGGAUAACUACUGGAAACGGUAGCUAAUACCGCAUAACGUCGCAAGACCAAAGUGGGGGACCUUCGGGCCUCAUGCCAUCAGAUGUGCCCAGAUGGGAUUAGCUAGUAGGUGGGGUAACGGCUCACCUAGGCGACGAUCCCUAGCUGGUCUGAGAGGAUGACAAGCCACACUGGAACUGAGACACGGUCCAGACUCCUACGGGAGGCAGCAGUGGGGAAUAUUGCACAAUGGGCGCAAGCCUGAUGCAGCCAUGCCGCGUGUGUGAAGAAGGCCUUCGGGUUGUAAAGCACUUUCAGCGGGGAGGAAGGCGUUAAGGUUAAUAACCUUGGCGAUUGACGUUACCCGCAGAAGAAGCACCGGCUAACUCCGUGCCAGCAGCCGCGGUAAUACGGAGGGUGCAAGCGUUAAUCGGAAUUACUGGGCGUAAAGCGCACGCAGGCGGUCUGUCAAGUCGGAUGUGAAAUCCCCGGGCUCAACCUGGGAACUGCAUUCGAAACUGGCAGGCUAGAGUCUUGUAGAGGGGGGUAGAAUUCCAGGUGUAGCGGUGAAAUGCGUAGAGAUCUGGAGGAAUACCGGUGGCGAAGGCGGCCCCCUGGACAAAGACUGACGCUCAGGUGCGAAAGCGUGGGGAGCAAACAGGAUUAGAUACCCUGGUAGUCCACGCCGUAAACGAUGUCGAUUUGGAGGUUGUGCCCUUGAGGCGUGGCUUCCGGAGCUAACGCGUUAAAUCGACCGCCUGGGGAGUACGGCCGCAAGGUUAAAACUCAAAUGAAUUGACGGGGGCCCGCACAAGCGGUGGAGCAUGUGGUUUAAUUCGAUGCAACGCGAAGAACCUUACCUGGUCUUGACAUCCACAGAACUUUCCAGAGAUGGAUUGGUGCCUUCGGGAACUGUGAGACAGGUGCUGCAUGGCUGUCGUCAGCUCGUGUUGUGAAAUGUUGGGUUAAGUCCCGCAACGAGCGCAACCCUUAUCCUUUGUUGCCAGCGGUUAGGCCGGGAACUCAAAGGAGACUGCCAGUGAUAAACUGGAGGAAGGUGGGGAUGACGUCAAGUCAUCAUGGCCCUUACGACCAGGGCUACACACGUGCUACAAUGGCAUAUACAAAGAGAAGCGACCUCGCGAGAGCAAGCGGACCUCAUAAAGUAUGUCGUAGUCCGGAUUGGAGUCUGCAACUCGACUCCAUGAAGUCGGAAUCGCUAGUAAUCGUAGAUCAGAAUGCUACGGUGAAUACGUUCCCGGGCCUUGUACACACCGCCCGUCACACCAUGGGAGUGGGUUGCAAAAGAAGUAGGUAGCUUAACCUUCGGGAGGGCGCUUACCACUUUGUGAUUCAUGACUGGGGUGAAGUCGUAACAAGGUAACCGUAGGGGAACCUGCGGUUGGAUCACCUCCUUACCUUAAAGAA
Molecule: ribosomal RNA, 1550 nt
Filed under: Klebsiella pneumoniae
Lineage: Bacteria; Pseudomonadati; Pseudomonadota; Gammaproteobacteria; Enterobacterales; Enterobacteriaceae
Description: bacterial SSU rRNA
Rfam family: Bacterial small subunit ribosomal RNA
Source: RNAcentral